Cavia aperea (Brazilian guinea pig) is the source of this 104-nucleotide small nuclear RNA. Lineage: Eukaryota; Metazoa; Chordata; Mammalia; Rodentia; Caviidae. The record is from Ensembl.
GUGCUUACUUCAGUAGCAUAUAUACUAAAAUUGGAAUGAUGUAGAGAUUAGUAUGUCCCCUGCACAAGGGUGACAUGCAAAUUUUUGAUGCGUUCCGUAUUUUU